This 253-nucleotide ribosomal RNA is filed under the name uncultured bacterium. Its description in RNAcentral is "partial 16S ribosomal RNA". It matches the Rfam family "Bacterial small subunit ribosomal RNA", at positions 524 to 776 of the family's 1533-position model. The record is from RNAcentral.
UACGAAGGGGGCUAGCGUUGUUCGGAAUUACUGGGCGUAAAGCGUGCGCAGGCGGCUUCUCAAGUCAGGGGUGAAAGCCCAGAGCUCAACUCUGGAAUUGCCUUUGAGACUGAGUGGCUUGAGUACGAGAGAGGUGAGUGGAGUUCCCAGUGUAGAGGUGAAAUUCGUAGAUAUUGGGAAGAACACCGGUGGCGAAGGCGGCUCACUGGCUCGUAACUGACGCUCAUGCACGACAGCGUGGGGAUCAAACAGG